GGCAAAUUUAGCGCUAUGUUAAGCAAUCGUAAUUGGACUUAUGUAGAAGUCACAACUAUCUGAGGCCGGUCAAUAAUAAUGUAGGCAAACAACACAAGUUAGAAGUCUUGAUUAGUGAACCAAGUUCCAACAACUGGCCAUGCCAAAAAGAAGAAGAGAAUUGAUCUUGUAUUGGUUUAAGUCUUUUGCAUGAUUUAGGAAGCAACCUAUCCUUAAUGCAAAGCCAUUCACUUGAUCAUUUGAUCAAGAUGAAUUAGAUUUGAAUCAAGGAAGAUUAAACCUCCC
Molecule: long non-coding RNA, 285 nt
Filed under: Lathyrus oleraceus (garden pea)
Lineage: Eukaryota; Viridiplantae; Streptophyta; Magnoliopsida; Fabales; Fabaceae
Description: Pisum sativum (pea) long non-coding RNA (PSAT_LNC002033)
Source: RNAcentral